RNAcentral lists this ribosomal RNA (333 nucleotides) under Amarinus paralacustris. Its description in RNAcentral is "partial 12S ribosomal RNA". Lineage: Eukaryota; Metazoa; Arthropoda; Malacostraca; Decapoda; Hymenosomatidae. The record is from RNAcentral.
UUCUUUAUAGUAGUUAUAUUCUUAUAAUUUAUAGAAUUUGGCGGUAAUUUAGUCUAGUCAGAGGAAUUUGUGUUUUAAUCGAUAAUCCCCGUUGUAUUUUACUUAUUUUGUAAGUUUGUAUAUCGUCAUUAAAAGACUAUUUUAAUAAAAAAUUGUUGUAAUUGGUUAACUAGUAAAAUUAGACCAUGGUGCAGCAUAUAAAUAAGAAUGCAUGAAUUACAAUAAAUUUUAUUUUAUUUUACGGAUUAAAUAUUAAAUUUUUUAAAGAAGGUGGAUUUGAUUGUAUUUGUUGNUUAGCAGGCAAUAAAGAUAUAAGGUCUAAAUUAUGUACAC